GGUUCUAUUUAUUUUCAUUGGCUUGUAGUCCUAGCCAUGUUGUCUUUCAUAAGGAGGUGAGUUUUGGAUCCACUACAGGAGGACUUCCGACGUCCAACACCAUCCACCAGGUAUCAGGAUUCCAACUGUGUGUGAAAUUAUGCCAAGUGACAGGUUAUAAAGAUACUAAAGUACGAAGAAGAGGGGCUGCAAUGAGACUAAUUCUACAGUGAUGGAGUCAGCUCAUGUGGAGGGGAGAGUUUGGAUUCACACACACCCUCCCGUGGGCGUUUUCCCUUUCUCUCCAGAUUUUAAAAUUUGGUUAUAUUGACUGAUUCCUUGUAGGCUCUUGAGAGUAUGUUGUUGUUAGUGGUUCUUUCUAGUUCCAGAUGAAUAUUAGAUUGUUAGAAAUAAUGCAAUCUUAAGAAGCCAUUAGCCAGCCUAGGCCUUUAGGAGACUUAAACUUUUUUUCUUUUUCAUGAAGAAUGGCGACAUCACCAGUGUCUUUCCUUUGAAAGUUAGCUUAGCUUAUAAUUAAAUUAUUAUUUUAAAUAUUCUUUGAAAAAGAAAAGCUAAUCCGUCUCCUUUCUAGUGCAAUUUCCACGUGCAUACACUUUAAAUACGAUGCUAAUGUACAGCUGCCUUCCUCCUCGUCUUUGAAACAGAAGCUUUGAUUCGCUGCGUCAAAUAUAAUGGCAACCUUAGUAUUUCCACAUACCCAAUGCUAGUGUGUGCUUAUAUCAUAGGAUGAAGAAGUGCCAUCUGUUUAUGGAUAAGCCUCCUAAUGAUUGUUAAAAUAUUUGCCUCAUUAUCCUGUAAAACUGUUUAACCAAGAGGCUUGUCUGAUGCUUGAAUAUAUCUUGCUAUGAUUUGCAAUGAAAAUGUUAGUGCAUUCGACAUGUUUUUCUGUAAUAGAGAGCAUUAGUGAACACCAGAAUUUAAUUUCCAUACUUGUACAGGUAGGACUAUUCUUCAGCUCUCUACUCCAGGCAAGCCAUUCCUUAAGGCAUCUUGUAUAAUUC
Molecule: long non-coding RNA, 1001 nt
Filed under: Mus musculus (house mouse)
Lineage: Eukaryota; Metazoa; Chordata; Mammalia; Rodentia; Muridae
Description: long non-coding RNA chr6:15800970-15801971
Source: RNAcentral